Molecule: long non-coding RNA, 582 nt
Filed under: Medicago truncatula (barrel medic)
Lineage: Eukaryota; Viridiplantae; Streptophyta; Magnoliopsida; Fabales; Fabaceae
Description: long non-coding RNA (MTRU_LNC002117)
Source: RNAcentral
CGACAAAUCUGAGCACCAUAAAUAGUAAAACGACGACACAUGAAAGAACACCAUCAAAUAUUAACAGACACAAAACCACCAUUGUGGUUGGCAAUAAACCAAACGCCUUGAAAGUUGUAGAUCUGGAAAGAACCAGAAAUCAGAGGCAAGAAAUACAGCCACAAACUAAAGAUUUCAAACUGAACCUACCUAGAUGGGGUUUUUCUUCCAAAACCACUGACGUAACCGCCAGAGUUCUGAAAUAACAAUGGACAAACAUUCAUCUUCUCGAGUCAACAUUCAUCAUCGCGAGAAAACCUAAAAGUAGUGAUGGCCUUGCACAUCCCUAUUUGUAUAGUUGUUGGAACUAGUAUAUAGUAUAUACUCGUGUUUUUCUCUAAUGAAAGUCUUGAAUAGGAUGAAGUUUCUAUUGGGUAAAAGAUUCCCUAUUGAAAAUGCAUGCUCUAAUUCACGUCAUCAUUUCAUUUAUGCAUACUCAUUUUUCCAAUAAAUAACAGCUUAGUUGAAUUACUUGAAGUAAUUCAUUCCACGAUUCUGUUUGGUGCACCCACUGUAGUACGCUCUAACGAGCAAGAACAAUGA